RNAcentral lists this long non-coding RNA (1217 nucleotides) under Homo sapiens (human). Its description in RNAcentral is "HSALNT0374255". Lineage: Eukaryota; Metazoa; Chordata; Mammalia; Primates; Hominidae. The record is from RNAcentral.
GAGAAUGCGCGGGUCGAGUGCUGUAGUUCGAUUUUUGCGUGUGUGCGUUGCUUGCGGCCUUUGUGCCUUUUUAUUCUUUGCUUACCUUUAUGAUAUAAAGACCUUAUUUCUUACAAGGAGGAAAAGACCGCUGACUUCAGAAACAGCGGGAACCCCAGCUCGUCCCCGAUGACAAAAUUGGGGUCUGGACGUGUGCAAGGACUUUUCCAAAGUCAGCUGGAAAGGAGCUGCUUAGCUGAGAGGUUCUGGCUCCAGAGUCUCCUGUGAAGUUGCAGUCAAGAUGUCUGCUGGGACCCCAGUCAUUUGAAGCCCUGUCUGGGGCAGGAGAAUCUAGGUCCAAAAUGGCCGUUGCAGGAGUCCUUAUCCACACCAUGUGGGACCUCUUCAUAGAUGUUCGAGUGUCCUCAUGGCAUGGCCACUGGCUUUCCCCAAACUUCAAACUAUGCAUAUGGGCCAGGCGCGGUAGCUCAUGCCUGUAAUCCCAACACUUUGGAAGGUCAAGGUGGGCAGAUCAUUUGAGGCCAGGAGUUUGAGACCAGCCUGGCCAACAUGGUGAAACUCCGUCUCUACUAAAAAAUACAAAAUAAUUAGCUGGGUGUCGUGGAGCAUACCUGUAAUCCCAGCUGCUCCGGAGGCUGAGGCACGAGAAUCGUCUGAACCCAGGUGAUUCUGCACUCUACUUGGGCUCUGUCUCAAAACAACAACAACAGCAACAACAAAAACUGUGGUAUUUUUAAUGAACUAAAUAUUAAUCUGCUAACACAGCAUAGGUUUUAUGAUUACUGCAAUUCAAAAGUCAUAAUAAAUUUUAAAACAAAUCCUCCUGUACCUGUUGUGGUGCAUGCAGAAACUUUUCCUGUUCAACACACUUAUAUGGCACUAUAUAGGGAUAUACCAAAUAGCUCAGGUACAUAGUGAAUACAACUUUAACACUUAUAUUGAAAUGCUAAUCUUACUUGCCAAUAUUAGUGGCACAUUAGCAUAAUUUAACUUUUAUAAAAUUAUGGAAAACAGUUUAAAAUUAUUCUCCCUAAUAUUAGCAAAUUGCAUUAAUGGCAUGUACCGUGUGCCAGUUUGUUUCCAAAUAAACAAAAUGUACCUUGAUAUGCCACUUCAGAGCCAGCAGAGGGAGCUCAUACUUUUUUAUUGUUUUCAACUUACUGAAGAAAAUUUGCUUUUAAAAGCUACUGUGUUAUAACCAAUGAGAACCAAGAAAA